AUGAACGGCCAUUGAUACUGUUAGGCUUGAAUUAUUAGGAAGUAACUAGAAUAUGUAGUGUAGCGGUGAAAUGCUUAGAGAUUACAUGGAAUACCAAUUGCGAAGGCAGGUUACUACUAAUUGAUUGACGCUGAUGGACGAAAGCGUGGGUAGCGAACAGGAUUAGAUACCCUGGUAGUCCACGCCGUAAACGAUGGAUACUAGCUGUUGGGAGCAAUCUCAGUGGCUAAGCGAAAGUGAUAAGUAUCCCACCUGGGGAGUACGUUCGCAAGAAUGAAACUCAAAGGAAUUGACGGGGGCCCGCACAAGCGGUGGAGCAUGUGGUUUAAUUCGAUGAUACGCGAGGAACCUUACCAGGCUUAAAUGUAGAUUGACCGAUUUGGAAACAGAUCUUUCGCAAGACAAUUUACAAGGUGCUGCAUGGUUGUCGUCAGCUCGUGCCGUGAGGUGUCAGGUUAAGUCCUAUAACGAG
This 472-nucleotide ribosomal RNA is filed under the name uncultured bacterium. RNAcentral's name for it is "bacterial SSU rRNA". It matches the Rfam family "Bacterial small subunit ribosomal RNA", at positions 616 to 1096 of the family's 1533-position model. The record is from RNAcentral.